AUGGGGCAUGAUAAGGAUACUUGUGAGAAUAAGAGGCUAGGUGUUCUGUCCAAGCACUAUGAUGAUGGGCUCCGUUGCCCUCCAUUUAAGAAAUUUGAACACAAGCUGACACACUUCCCUUCACCAGCGAAUCCGACGAUGCGGAGAGGGCUGGAUUUUUCGUCGUUUGGAAGGGCAGAUUCUGCAAGCUCGGGUCGUCAGAGCAGGGAGGCAUUAGCUAAGAUGGACAAUAGGACACAAUAUCCUCAGUAUGGUAUGCCGAUUGGUACACAUGAUGGGUUUGAGGAGGUAGGGUCUGUUGGGAAUGUAGAGGUUGAUGGUGAGUUAUCUGCUCAAAUAAAUGCUCUGAAUGUGCACCAUUCAAAAGAACAGACGGUGUGUAACAACGUUGGUGAAAUAAAUAAGCAGAUUGAGACAAAGGAGAGGCAAGGACAAAUAUUUGGGAAGGGGAAGAAGAGUGGGGGGAAGCAAGCUGUCAUCAAGCGCACGACGCCCUCCUCUCGGCAAAGCAAACCUUUUUACACAGUUGAAAUGAUUCCAGCACUGAGAAACCUCAGUAAUUUGGGGGUGUUGUAUGGUGAUUCAGACACCGUCAUGACUGCUGCAGAUUCAGUACUUGGGAAGCGCGCAACAGCAGAGAAGGAUGGUCAGGAGGUGGUGCCAGCAGAAGAGAAGGCACUGGUGCCGUAUGUUGCAGGGCAAGCCGGUGGUAACCAGAAGCGUGGCAAGGUGAUUGUGCAGGGGGCUGAUACAAAACAGAAGGUGGAGGGAGAUGUGAAAUUUCUGGAAGCAACCGGUCUUGGGGCUGCCGGUAAUCUGACGGUUCCAAUUGUGGUGCCCCGUCAGGAGCCAUGA
RNAcentral lists this ribosomal RNA (855 nucleotides) under Triticum aestivum (bread wheat). RNAcentral's name for it is "partial small subunit ribosomal RNA". Lineage: Eukaryota; Viridiplantae; Streptophyta; Magnoliopsida; Poales; Poaceae. The record is from RNAcentral.